RNAcentral lists this ribosomal RNA (405 nucleotides) under uncultured microorganism. Its description in RNAcentral is "bacterial SSU rRNA". It matches the Rfam family "Archaeal small subunit ribosomal RNA", at positions 330 to 735 of the family's 1478-position model. The record is from RNAcentral.
GCGCAGCAGUCGCGAAACCUCCGCAAUACACGAAAGUGUGACGGGGCCAUCCCGAGUGCCGUCCGCUGAGGACGGCUUUUCCCCAGUGUACACAGCUGGGGGAAUAAGGAGAGGGCAAGCCUGGUGUCAGCCGCCGCGGUAAUACCAGCUCUCCGAGUGGUGGGGACGCUUAUUGGGCCUAAAGCAUCCGUAGCCGGCUGGGCAAGUCCUCCGUUAAAUCCAACGAUUCAAUCGUUGGGCUGCGGGGGAUACUGUCCAGCUUGGGGGCGGGAGAGGCCGACGGUAUUCCCGGGGUAGGGAUGAAAAUCCUAUAAUCCCGGGAGGACCACCAGUGGCGAAGGCUGUCGGCUAGAACGCGCCCGACGGUGAGGGAUGAAAGCUGGGGGGAGCGAACCGGAUUAGAUA